Long non-coding RNA from Pecten maximus, 375 nucleotides. RefSeq lists it as uncharacterized. The transcript is spliced from 4 exons. NCBI's taxonomy places the organism in Eukaryota, Metazoa, Mollusca, Bivalvia, Pectinida, Pectinidae. The record is from RefSeq and is a predicted model, not a curated record.
AGUCAGACCUUUAUUACCGUCAAUCAUGAGGACUUUGGCUAUUGUUACGCUGUUGGCCCUAUCUGUCUGCUUGGUGAGUUCCCAGUACUGCCUCACUAGUUCAUACUGUAGAGGUAACGGACAGACAACUUGCGACAACAGUAAUCUGGAAUACUGUCACAACCAUCACUGCACGUGCGCCAGCGCCGCCCAUAAUUCCGACUGUACCUCACAGAGUGAUUGUACUUCCCAUACACACACCUGUCUUCACUGUGUAGACCAACACUGUAUUUGUGUUUAAUCAGCAGUAGAGGAAACUUUGUGGAUUUCCCACUCCAUUCUCUGCUGAAACGACUAUGUUGAUUUAUCAGGAUGGUAAUAAAAUGUAAAACAUGA